Molecule: non-coding RNA, 96 nt
Filed under: unclassified sequences
Description: SAM-I-IV sequence
Rfam family: SAM-I/IV (S-adenosyl methionine) riboswitch aptamer
About the family: It is found upstream of a number of genes which code for proteins involved in methionine or cysteine biosynthesis. It has been found mostly in the order Actinomycetales.
Source: Rfam by way of RNAcentral
AUCUAGCAUCAGGAGUGAGCGAAAGCUCCGCCAACCUGCCCUCCCAGGCAAGGUGGCGCAGAAUGUGGCCUCAUUGAGGCAAUCAACUGGGAUUCA